Molecule: long non-coding RNA, 285 nt
Filed under: Manihot esculenta (cassava)
Lineage: Eukaryota; Viridiplantae; Streptophyta; Magnoliopsida; Malpighiales; Euphorbiaceae
Description: long non-coding RNA (MESC_LNC001236)
Source: RNAcentral
CUGGCAAUGGUAAGUACAAUGGUGUUAUAUACACAUAUACAUAUAUGACAGGAAGUCCAGGAGCCUUUGACUACGCCCUGGCACAGAGUUACUGAGACUAUGUGGUGACAGGUUUACUCUUGAUGUGGCUUGUCUGUGAUAUGGUGCAUUCCAUGAGAUCAUAUUUUACUGAGAUGUUUUACUGUUCUACUCACUGGGCUAUAGAGCUCAUCCCACUCCCUUAACCCCAGUUUUGCAGGUUCAGUGUACAGUGUACAGGGACAGUCCAGCAGAGUACAGGAAAAG